This 457-nucleotide long non-coding RNA is filed under the name Heterocephalus glaber (naked mole-rat). RNAcentral describes it as "lncRNA (ENSHGLG00100040645.1)". Lineage: Eukaryota; Metazoa; Chordata; Mammalia; Rodentia; Bathyergidae. The record is from RNAcentral.
GAGAAAAUGAUUUCUAACAACCAUUGGAUGUGAGCAGAGAAAAAUAAUAGAGGCACAGAGAUGAGUUUAAAUCAGUGAUACAUGAACUUUGGUGUAAGUCAAAAUUGCCAACUCUCCAGUGCUGAUCCAUGGGGCAUUAAUGAGGAGGAAAUCAAAGGCCAAACAGCUGAAUUACAUGAAAUGACAAAGGAAGAGACAAAAAUCAGACCAAUAAGGUGCUUGGCACACUCAAAGAAGAUGUAACUGAACAGGUCUCCGUUGCUUAGAUAAGAUGGCAUUGAGAAGGGGAAGCUGAACACUGUUCCCUGACUGCAUGGUCUUAGUACAUCAUUGACCUAACAUCAAAGAGACACCCUAUGAAUGUAAUGAAUGUGGGAAAGCCUUGAGCCAUCCGCCAGCUUUCAUUCAGCACCAGCGGAUUCAUACUGGAGAGAUUCUAUGAAUGUACUGAAUGUGG